This 251-nucleotide ribosomal RNA is filed under the name uncultured bacterium. RNAcentral describes it as "partial 16S ribosomal RNA". It matches the Rfam family "Bacterial small subunit ribosomal RNA", at positions 526 to 776 of the family's 1533-position model. RNAcentral also lists the same sequence under 1 other name. The record is from RNAcentral.
CGUAGGGCGCAAGCGUUAUCCGGAAUUAUUGGGCGUAAAGAGCUCGUAGGCGGUUUGUCGCGUCUGCCGUGAAAGUCCGGGGCUCAACUCCGGAUCUGCGGUGGGUACGGGCAGACUAGAGUGAUGUAGGGGAGACUGGAAUUCCUGGUGUAGCGGUGAAAUGCGCAGAUAUCAGGAGGAACACCGAUGGCGAAGGCAGGUCUCUGGGCAUUAACUGACGCUGAGGAGCGAAAGCAUGGGGAGCGAACAGG